GACGGAGGGUGCUAGCGUUGUUCGGAAUGACUGGGCGUAAAGGGCGCGUAGGCGGCCGGUUGCGUCGGAUGUGAAAGCCCGGGGCUCAACCCCGGAACGGCAUCCGAUACGGGCUGGCCCGAGACCGAGAGAGGUGAGUGGAAUACCCAGUGUAGAGGUGAAAUUCGUAGAUAUUGGGUGGAACACCGGUGGCGAAAGCGGCUCACUGGCUCGGUUCUGACGCUGAGGCGCGAAAGCGUGGGGAGCAAACAGG
Molecule: ribosomal RNA, 253 nt
Filed under: uncultured bacterium
Lineage: Bacteria
Description: partial 16S ribosomal RNA
Rfam family: Bacterial small subunit ribosomal RNA
Source: RNAcentral